RNAcentral lists this long non-coding RNA (347 nucleotides) under Equus asinus (donkey). Its description in RNAcentral is "lncRNA (ENSEASG00005028705.1)". Lineage: Eukaryota; Metazoa; Chordata; Mammalia; Perissodactyla; Equidae. The record is from RNAcentral.
GGAGCACAGGGCUUCCUAGCUGGGGAAGCAGACUCAGAGAGGGUGUGUGGCUUGCCCCAGGUCACACAGCGGGGCAGGGGCCCAGGGCCUAGCCUGCCAGUCCUGUUUCUGCCCCCAUCCUGGGGUUCUGGUGCAGGGUCUCCUGCCUGUGCUGACCAGCAGUAUUCAUGAGGUGCUGGGGGAGAGGCGGUGGGAGGAGGUAGACAUACCUCAUACCUCAGCCGGAUGGAGAGUGCAUUUGGGGGGCAAACGGAAGACAGCCAACCCAAGGAAGCCCAGGGUCCUCCUCUGGAAGUGGUGACGGUCCCGGCCUCCAGGAGCGGCCGCAAGGAUUCAGAGCUGAUAAG